Non-coding RNA from Pelobates cultripes (western spadefoot toad), 503 nucleotides. The record is from the annotation of a GenBank genome assembly. Lineage: Eukaryota; Metazoa; Chordata; Amphibia; Anura; Pelobatidae.
GUGACACCUUCUUCAGAAAGAUGGGUCUGAUCUGCAGUGUUCCAAGAUUUGGCCAAUGGGCCAAGUUCUUCCCAUGAGGUCUGUGGGGACUUGGAGAAGGAGAUGUAGGGGACAGCUAAGUCCCAGUGGUGGUAUGAGCUACCUCUGGAGGCAGGUGGACUAAGGCUAGAUAAUUGCCAUUAGGAUCACGGAACAGAUCUGUUUUGGUGAGCUGCACCUCCACCAACUGGAACAGGUCUUCUUCAUAGUAGGGUUCGGGUCCUGGAGUAUUUCUGAACCAUCGGGUGAAAAGAGGGAAAGGCGGGGUGUCAUUUCCUCCCCCCCCGCCCCCUGGGAAGUGGCAGAAGAGUGACCGGGUUGAGGGAGUAGCACCUCUGCAGGGAGACCUUGUCUGGCAGCAGGAGAGAACAUUGUAAGCGAAGGUGGCGAGCAGCUGAGAGGUGCUUGGGCUAAACUUGGCUGAGGAUGGCAGCUAUGUCGUGAGGUGCAAGGAGACAGACGCU